Non-coding RNA from Chlorocebus sabaeus (green monkey), 2932 nucleotides. NCBI's taxonomy places the organism in Eukaryota, Metazoa, Chordata, Mammalia, Primates, Cercopithecidae. The record is from RefSeq and is a predicted model, not a curated record.
AGCCGACCCCGCCCCUCCAUGGAUUUCCCGACCCUCGCCUCGAAUUCAUUUCCUGCUCCACCUGCACCCCCUAAUCCCUACCCCUGCUACAACCCCAGAGGCUGGACUCCUGGAUUCAUCUCCCCAGCCUCCCUGGGCCUGCCUUAGCCGCCAGUCGCAGCCGAGGCGAAGACAGCGAAGGAGGGAAGUGGGGGCGGCUAGCUGGGGCUAGGAGGCCAGGAGAGGGCGGGGUGGGCGGCCGUUUGGGGUGGGGGUCAGGGUGACGCACUCGUCUGUAUUCAGGGCAGGUGCUGGCUCUGGUGCUGGUGGCCGCUCUGUGGGGUGGCACGCAACCGCUGCUGAAGCGGGCCUCCGCCGGCCUGCAACGGGUUCAUGAGCCGACCUGGGCCCGGCAGUUGCUACAGGAGAUGAAGACCCUCUUCUUGAAUACUGAGUACCUGAUGCCCUUUCUCCUCAACCAGUGUGGCUCCCUUCUCUAUUACCUCACCUUGGCAUCGACAGGCUGGUCCCAGACCUCAGAGUUCAGGUCUUCAUGCUGGAAUCCUGGGAAGCACUGAACGUGGAGUCAGGAGAUGUGGGUUUGAGUCCUGAGAUUUGCUGUGACUUCAGCUGGAAGAUGGGGUUAUGAUACCUUUUUUAAAGAUCUGACCCUAGCUGUGCCCAUCUGUAACUCUCUGGCCAUCAUCUUCACAUUGAUUGUUGGCAAGGCCCUUGGAGAAGAUAUUGGUGGAAAACGAGCAGUUGCUGGCAUGGUGCUCACUGUGAUAGGAAUUUCACUCUGCGUCACAAGCUCAGUGAGUAAGACCCAGGGGCAGCCGUCUACCCUUUGAGUGGGCUGAACCCACCUCCAGCUCUGCUGCCUCCAGGAAGCACCUGGGCCAUGAAGUGCUGGCAGUGAGUGGAUGGACCUAGCACUUCUCCUCUCUGGCUUCAGCUUCCUCCUCUCUUAAGGGGAUAACAGCUACCUCAUGGAUCACAAUAAGAGAACAAGAGUGAAAGGGUUUUGUAACCUUCAAGUGCUGUUCAGCUGCUGGGAUUUAGCACAGGAGACUCUACGCUCACCUUCAGCAACCUUUCUGCCCCAGCAGCUCUCUUCCUGCUGACAUCUCAGGCCCCCAGCCCAGCCACCAUUACUGUGGCCUGAUCUGGACUAUCAUGGUGGCAAGUUCCAUGGACUGCAGAACCCCAGCUGCAUGGAAAGGGCCAGCUGCAGACUUUGAGCCAAAAAUGCAAACGGGAGGCCUCCAGGGCUCAGUCAGAGCACCUUGGCUGAAUGAGGAGUGGAACCGAGGGGAAGAAGGUACAUCGGAGUGGCAGAUGCAGAUGAGCUGUCUAUUAGCCUUGCCUGCCUCACCCAUGAGGUGGGCAGAAAUCCUCACUGCCAGCCCCUCUUAAACAGGUAGACAGCUGUGAGCCCCAGCCUCACCUGACUCCAGCACCCAGCAUACCUGGCGAGUAGUAGCUGUCAAUAAAUCUGGUAAACAGACAGAGGUUAGUAAGUAUUCUUUUAUUGUGACAAACCCGCUCCCCCGUUUGUAGCCUGUCCCCCAGGCUCAGUCAGCUACUCCUUUCUGUGGCUAGAGAAUCCCAUAAGGAAAUAGCCCCCAAGCCAGGGCUGCUCUGCUCAGAGGAAGGGAAGGCUGGGCUGUGGGUUUAGGAGCAGGAGAACUGGGAGGACUGAGGAGGCCGCAGUGUACCCUGUGAGCCCAGGGGAGGUGCUGGCUCCUGAGGAACAAGCUGCUGGAGGCUGAGGACAAAAGGUGGCCAGAGUGGUGGUCCCCAGUUCCCCUCUGGAGCUGCUGGCUCUCAAGAUGGCAGAGCUGGGGCUGAGGCUGAGAUAGCAGCCCCAGCCCCAGGCUGGUUUUCCAGGGACAGGGCCUCUUCCGCUAUCUGUGCUGCCCUCUGGAGGAGGUGGAAGGCCACACAGAAUGGAACCGUGAGUAUAGCCAGCCUCUAGCUCUCAGCCAUGAGGUCCCCGACCCCAAGGAAGGAAGAAACUGGAAAUUAGGAACUGCUUCCUCAUGUAACAAGGUAGGAAGUUAGGAGAUCAUUUACCUUCAGUCACAAGGGAGAACUGUUCCUGGGGCCCAGGGGUGCCAAUUUCCAGCUCAGAGCUCCUCCCAUCCCAACAUACUGUUCCCUGAUCCAACGGCUUACCUGAUCCAAGGGCUCCUCUGUCUGGGUGUCUUCAUCAUCUGCUACUUCCUGGGCUCCCUCGCUGUCUCCUUCCUUGGGUGGGGAGCUCCAUAUACUCCUGUAACUCCUAAAGAGGGAGGCAGCACUGGGUGAUGCCCAGGCUGAAGAGCCCUCAGCAUUCCUGCCCUGGACCUUCAUGCCAGCCCCUUUCCCUCCCCUGAACCUGGUUCUGCGUUCCCCACCACCUCCCAGGAUGGCAGGGAAGUGAGAGGUGGGCCUUUGGUCCCACCCCCAUCCCCUCUAGAUCCCACCCCUGAAGUCUCAUCGCUUUAAGCACUGUCCUUUCCAGGCGCUUCUUUUCGUGUGAUGAGGCCCUGUGAAGAAGGAACAGGAUAUACAGAUGGGGGGAGCUGGAGACAGUUAUGAUGAGUGCCAGCUUUGUGUGUGGGCAUUCUGCUCCCAUGGACAUCCCUAACAACAGCAGGGACCAAUCCAUGUCACUGUGAAAAGGCAGCUGAGAAGGGCCUGAGCCCCAGGGACCCCUCACCUGAUGGGAAUGAGAGUAUGGGGAGCUUGCUUCUUGGCUGAAUGGUCUGCUGGGGUCUGGCAUAGAAAGUGGAUGGCUUAAUUCCGUCUGGUUCCUUUGGAGAGGACUGGGUUACCUGGGCCCUGUGGCCUUGGGCCUAGAGAAGGGACACUGGGCUUGGACCCUGGUUGCUGGCCAUUCUUACCUUUCCUACUCCCCAGCCUGAACAACAUGGGGAAACCCUGCCUCUACUAAAAAUUUAAAAAAUUA